Molecule: ribosomal RNA, 239 nt
Filed under: uncultured bacterium
Lineage: Bacteria
Description: partial 16S ribosomal RNA
Rfam family: Bacterial small subunit ribosomal RNA
Source: RNAcentral
GAUCAUGGCUCAGGACGAACGCUGGCGGCGUGCUUAACACAUGCAAGUCGAACGAGAAUCUAUGGAAAGAGGAUUCGUCCAAUUGAAAUAGAGGACAGUGGCGGACGGGUGAGUAACGCGUGAGGAACCUGCCUUUCAGAGGGGACGAACAGUUGGAAACGACUGCUAAUACCGCAUAACGCGUAGAGGUCGCAUGGCCUUUACGUCCAAAGAUUUAUCGCUGAAAGAUGGCCUCGCGU